UUUGAAAAACUCAUGUUUGAAUUUGUCAAUGAGCUCAUAAUUGUCUGACUUGUUGAGGAGGGCAGAUCCUGAAAACUCCCAGAAGUCAACAUCCCAAAAUGAGAAGGUACAUUGAGUGGCUGGCGUAAGUGGGCAAGGUUGUCAGAUAAUUCUCCACCCCAAGCUUCUGGAGGAGUGAUAGAAGAUUCUUCACUUUUUGAAGAUGGAGUAGGAGUAGAUCCUCCCAAUGGUGACAAAGAUCUGGUCUCAUCCUGUUUGGAAGUUGAACUGGUUUUCCAAUCAAAUGUUGGAUGAUCAUUUGUCCCAUCUUCUGCAAAAGGAAAUCUUCUACCAGCUGAAGGAAACAACAAAGAUGAGGGCUUCAUAUCAAUUGACAGAUUACCUUUUUUUAUUCCCUCAUGAUCAUCCCAGAGCUUAUUAAGUGAGGAUGUGAUAGGCUGGACAUCAACAAGUGGGGAAAAUACUUCCAUGUCAUCCUUAAAAUUAUAACUUGUACGAGGAGCAUGUAAUCUUGCCAAUGUUCCACUUGGCCACAAAUGGCUCCGAUGUGGUGUUUCCUCAGCAAAUGAAGGCAUACUUGAUGCAGAUCCACUAUUGGUUGAUGUAAGAGAUGAUGCUCCUACAGAAAGACCAGAACGGCCAAGAUUGCGAGAACUCAACACUGCAGUAGAUAGUGAAACACUUGAUGACGUCACAGAGGGAAGGGGGUCAGGCAUAAGAAUGGAAUCUUCAACAGCACCUCCCAGAAGAGCUGUCUCAGCAGUGCAGGUACUCCCAUUUACAACAACUGGCUUUGAUCUUUGCCAGCACAAACUUGUAACAGCCUCUGAAGUGCUAUAAGCACGAAGAACAGUGAAAGGCUGUGGUUUUCCACGAACAUCAUAGAA
Molecule: unclassified non-coding RNA, 887 nt
Filed under: Hevea brasiliensis (rubber tree)
Lineage: Eukaryota; Viridiplantae; Streptophyta; Magnoliopsida; Malpighiales; Euphorbiaceae
Source: RNAcentral